GUUGCCAUUGGGCGAGGGCCUGUGGUGGCUGCACAGCGAACGCCAGGUGCGCCAGCCUGGCCUGGCGUUCAUUACCCCGCAGCAACCCC
Molecule: transfer RNA, 89 nt
Filed under: compost metagenome
Description: tRNA-Ala
Source: RNAcentral